CCCCUAGAUGUUCUGGGCCGCACGCGCGCUACACUGAACAGUUCAACAAGUCUUAACCUUGGCCGAUAGGUCUGGGUAAUCUUUGAACGCUGUUCGUGAUUGGGAUAGACCUUUGCAAUUAUGGGUCUUCAACGAGGAAUUCCUAGUAAACGCAAGUCAUCAGCUUGCAUUGAUUACGUCCCUGCCCUUUGUACACACCGCCCGUCGCACCUACCGAUCGAAGGUAAUGAUGAGCCCUCAGGAUUGUGGCCUCGUCGCGUCAGCGUCUUGGCUGCGAGAAUCUGUGCAAAUCCCUACCUUUAGAGGAAGGUGAAGUCGUNACA
RNAcentral lists this ribosomal RNA (323 nucleotides) under uncultured eukaryote. RNAcentral describes it as "partial 18S ribosomal RNA". It matches the Rfam family "Eukaryotic small subunit ribosomal RNA", at positions 1470 to 1796 of the family's 1831-position model. The record is from RNAcentral.